GCGCGCGGCAGCAGGGUUGGGCUCUCGCCGUGAGUCGACGAAGGGAGCGCGGGCGCGCGCCCGCGUCCGCGCACUGAGAGUCGCCUCGGCCGCUCGCUUUCUCGACUCCCGCCUCGCGCCUCGAUCCUGUUCCGCCUCCCUCGGCCCUCCUGCCCGCCCCCACUCGUCGGCCCUCAGCUCAGAGACCUAAUAGGAUGGGGUCUUAGAGAAACAUCUUUUGAGCCACAGACUUCUUUGUUACCAGAAGGAAAAUGAAAGAAGAAAUUUAAAUACCACUUGAAGAGAGGUAAAUAAAUGAGAAAUGGGGCUGAGAGGGCGGGUAUUUUUUUAAAAAUUCAUUAAAUGGAAAAAUCCACAAAUGUUAAUUCUGGUAGAUUUCUUAGAAAUUACAUCAGAGGAGCAUGCUUGGUCUUCCCACCCUCAUUAGGCCUCAGUGACAGGUACUUGAACAACUGAGCCCCUAAUGUGCAUGCUCCCCCACCCCUGAAGCCAGUCUCUGCCCUCCUCUUCCCUCCUCUUGCCCCUGGAAGCUGAUCGCCACCAACUGGCCUCUGGGUGGAUUUGGCCAAUGGAAGCACCUGUAGAGGGAAGAGAGUGAGGUUAGGAUAUUUCUUCCUGCUGUCUCCGUGCUUCCCUGCAGAGAGUGUGAAGAAAUGACCCUGAAAAGCCUCUGGCAGAGGAUUCUUCUUUCAGGAUGGUGUCGCCUCCUCAGCAGCCCAUCCUCCUCCCCUGGACUCAAGCUCUCAUUCCAGUAACACUCCUUCCUCCUUCUCCAUCUUCAGGGGGAGGUUUGCCAGUCGGUGAGAACCCUUUGUUAAGCUGUGUAACCUCUGUGCAUAGUUUCCUCAUCAGCAAAGUCAGAAAAAGUAUGUACCUGAAGGACUGAUUGUAAGGCUGGGAUGAGAGAAUCCAUGUGAUCAGCCCUCACCAACAGGUGCUGCCCAGUUCAUGAGUGCUGCUGCUGUCCUGCCCAAGUACCCAGCUUGCAGAGUGCCAGAGUUAGAGUCCCAGGGGUGUUCUCCACAGCUGCAUGCUUGAUCCAGGCCUAUCAGAUAUAUUCCAUUGAAAGUCCUCAUUCUCAAAUUUAAAACAAAGACUUUUUGUGUACCUCAAUAGCAAUGCACACACAGUUGGCUUCACAAACAUAUUGUACAUUUCUUUUUUUCAUAUUUAUUCAACAAAUGUAUAUUGACUACCCACCGUGUGACAGGUGUUAUUUGUUGACGGAACCAGGCAUCAUCAGCAAACAAAACUGACAAAGCUUCCUGCCCUCUGUGGAAGGCAUCUGAGGAAGAGACUGGAUUUUGUAGCAACAUGUUAUUCUCAUUAUAAACUUUAUCAUUGGAAUACUAAAGCCAAAUCAUCCCCCAUCUCCUUGAUCAGGAUACCCACUUAAUCUAGGCAGCUACACAAUUGUGAGAGCCUUUGUUUUUUUCUGCUGAAACAUCCUUAAAAAGAUACCUCACAACCCAAGAUUUGGCUUUUCUUAAAUACGAUUUUUAAUUUUUUUCAUUUCUAUCUAGAGAUUUAAUUGGAAAUGGAAAAUCAUCAAUUUUCCAAUUAAAUGUCUGUUCCAAUCAACAUUAUACCUUUUAGGUUGUCAUUGUCAUUUUUAAGUUUAAGCAACUUUAAGGAUUUUGAAUCUGGCUGCCUGUAAAUUAAAGGUGAAAGUAAUCAUUGUGUUGGAUUGGAACAUUUUGUCAAUUGAGAGUGGUUUCCUUGUUCUUAGUGUAUGAAAAGUUUAUUUUUCUAAUGUAGAUUAAUAAAGGAGAUAAAGAAAAACAAAAUGAGUGAUUUAUGUGUGUGAGAAAAGAAC
This 1816-nucleotide long non-coding RNA is filed under the name Homo sapiens (human). Its description in RNAcentral is "HSALNT0385812". The record is from RNAcentral. Lineage: Eukaryota; Metazoa; Chordata; Mammalia; Primates; Hominidae.